This is a long non-coding RNA of Pan troglodytes (chimpanzee), 1014 nucleotides long. RefSeq lists it as uncharacterized. Lineage: Eukaryota; Metazoa; Chordata; Mammalia; Primates; Hominidae. The transcript is spliced from 8 exons. The record is from RefSeq and is a predicted model, not a curated record.
AUUCAAAACAUCUGGGGCUGCUCGGUGGCUCAUGCCUGUAAUCCCAGCAGUUUGGGAGGUCAACAUGGGUGAAUCACUUGAGGUCAGAAGUUUGGGACCAGCCCAGCCAAUGUGGCCCUGAUCAGGAAGUGAAGACAACAUGACUGUGGAGAAGAGAGCCGGGAAGGGAAGAUGGUCAAUAAUGAGUGCAUUCUAGGCCAGCUUCCCCAGAGCAUCAAGGUUGAUGGAAGAACAUGAGGGGAAGUGGCAUGAGAGCAAGCCCGUGCUCUCCUCUACAGAGACAGAAGCCAGACAUGCCUUUUCCAUGUGCUGAUCUCCAAGUCCCAGCUAGUAGGUCACAUGACAUCACAGUCCUGCUCUUCCUCAAUGGGACUAAGGGCUGAGGGAUCAGUGAGUGCAGAGGUGCCAGCCCAUUUCCACUCCUCCUUAGCGCCAGAAAACCCUGACUAUGACAGCCAUCCCUGAGCCUGCUGGCCAGCUCCCUAGCGGGACAACAUUGAAAGGGAAACGGUGAAUUCGCUUGUUGUAAGUUUGAAGACUCAACAUGAAACUCACAAAACGCAGCCACAGCAGUGGUUUCAUUAUCAAAACUCCAGCAAGCAUUCCAGCCAGACUAAUUCCCCACUGGAUUCACUUAAUGUAGAUCCUCACAAACGAUUACAUGUAAACGUGAGAGGCACCCAGUUUGGAUUCCAGACCAGAAGAAAUCCAGGAAUGGAUUUAAAAAGGAAAGCUGGUUCCCAUCUCCCUGGAGAAUUUAUCUUUAUUAAAGAUGCAAAGGAUCCAGUGAAGGUCUCUGAGGCCCUGGGAGAUGGUAGAGCCACACCAUGAAGGUGCCUGGGUCCCUGAAUGACUGCAUGGAGCUCACUCUACAUUGGACUGUGACACAAGCAAGAAAGGUAGACACUUAGAAGUGGAAUUGCUGAGUCAUACAGUAAUUCUAUGUUUAACAUUUUGAGGAACUGCCAAACUGUUUCCAAAAUGGCUGCAACAUUCUACAUUUCCAUCAGCAAG